CCUACGGGUGGCAGCAGUGAGGAAUAUUGGUCAAUGGACGGAAGUCUGAACCAGCCAUGCCGCGUGCAGGAAGACGGUUCUAUGAGUUGUAAACUGCUUUUGUACAAGGGUAAACCUGAAUACGUGUAUUCAGCUGAAAGUACUGUACGAAUAAGGAUCGGCUAACUCCGUGCCAGCAGCCGCGGUAAUACGGAGGAUCCAAGCGUUAUCCGGAUUUAUUGGGUUUAAAGGGUGCGUAGGCGGAUUGAUAAGUUAGAGGUGAAAUGUUCGGGCUUAACUCGGGAACUGCCUUUAAUACUGUUGGUCUAGAGAGUAGAUGCGGUAGGCGGAAUGUAUGGUGUAGCGGUGAAAUGCUUAGAGAUCAUACAGAACACCGAUUGCGAAGGCAGCUUACCAAUCUAUAUCUGACGUUGAGGCACGAAAGCGUGGGGAGCAAACAGGAUUAGAUACCCCGGUAGUC
Molecule: ribosomal RNA, 460 nt
Filed under: uncultured bacterium
Lineage: Bacteria
Description: partial 16S ribosomal RNA
Rfam family: Bacterial small subunit ribosomal RNA
Source: RNAcentral